Pomacea canaliculata is the source of this 1452-nucleotide long non-coding RNA. RefSeq lists it as uncharacterized. NCBI's taxonomy places the organism in Eukaryota, Metazoa, Mollusca, Gastropoda, Architaenioglossa, Ampullariidae. The record is from RefSeq and is a predicted model, not a curated record. The transcript has 3 exons.
UAGGGAAACAGGGGUGGAUUUCAUGUUGCGCCUUUAUCCCACUUACCAGCGAAUAACUAGCUUAUCAGCCCUUAAGCGCAAAAAGUGGCUCCCACGUCGAAAUUAUUAGCGAAUAAGUCGGCCUUAUCGCGGGGUAAGUUAUGGUCAGGGGGGACCCGCCUUUACGCGGCUAUUAGGCGCAGAAAAAUGGCGACUGUAGUAGCUGUGCUCUCGCUAAACAGGCGAAAUCUUCGUCGAAACAGAAUAUUUAGGGACAACUAUAUCUUUACAAUGAUGUAGAAGUGUACACGAAAUUUGAAUUUCGUGGAGUUGAUAAAAUGUCUAUUGUCUAUGAGGUAGAAGAUGAAUUGGAAAUGUCGAAUCGAGGGAACAAUGUUCCCUCAAGCAGACGAUCGAGUAUGCUUUGCACUUCGCAACGGGAUCAUUUUUACGUGUGUGUGUGUGCGGCGAUUUGGUCGGAGUUUCCGAAGAGAAAUGUCACAUCGUGAGGAGAGUGACCAAACGCUACUACGACAUGCUCGACGAUGGAUCGUCUUUCCCGACUAGCGAGAGGCAGAGAGAAGGGAAAGUUCUGUGCCAGCGGUGGUUUUUCCGAGUGUUGUUGGAUACGUCGACGGGACGCAUAUCCACAUUCAGGCGGCGAAAAUAAUGAGCACCAGUACGUGAAUGGAAAAUAUUUUCAUUCACUGAAUGUUCAGGUUAAUGUUUAUCAACGUGCUUGCAAAGUGGCAUCCAGGGUGUCUGCAGCCUUUGGAAGCAACUGUAGACUAUUGGACAGGGUCAUGCUAGGUGACAGUGGCUGCAUGAUAGGAGAGUGAUUGUUGACACCAUUUCAGCAUCCUGCACCCUUGCAGGAAAGGAAAUACAACACAGCACAUAGCUGUACAUGCAACUGGGUCUGAAGAUGGAACCAGAUCAGGCAUGUGAAGUGACUGUGUUCUCAAUCGGGGAGAGCCAGACGAUGAUGGCAACAAUAAUGAUGUUGGACAUAACAAUGAUUUAAAUAAUGAAAAUCACUACAAUAAAAUCAAUGACACUGUUUCAGAACAUGAUGCUCCACAGAAAGAGCCCAUGUUGCACCAGGCCAAGCUGUCAGGAACCAAUCUGUUUAUAGACUUUUCUUGUAAAUAUGUUAAACCAUAAUUUUAUACAUUUCAGAACUAUUUUGAUAACGAAGUUAGAACAUCAACAAUAGACAUAGUCAACAGUUUAGAUGUAGGCCCAACAUGUGUUACAACAGGUCAAGCUGCUAGUAUCCAGUUUAUAAGUAGAUUUUUCUUGUGAAUACAUCAUAAUUUUAUACUUUUCUGUAGUGUUCACAAUAUCAGAACUAUGUGACUGUAGAAAUAGUUAAAUUUUCAUUCUUAUGAAACUUAGUAUCUGUUCAUUCAUACAGAUCUCUUUAGAAAGUAGCAAAUGCUUUUUAACUAUAAUAAAUGAAAGAUGCAGUUC